GUGAAACAAAAUGUUGUAGAUAAUGGAAACUUGUCUAACGGGCAUUAACAGUAACCUUGGCAUGUUAUGUAUAUGCUUGAGGCCAAAAGAGGCGUAAAACCAGAUAGAAAACUUUGAAGUGUGCUUUUUAGCGGAGAGUCAGGCUGACAUGGGGAUGGUGUGUAUUUUACUGGGGUGGUGUUUAAUAAAACUAAAAGCGUUGCUCACACACAUAAAGAGUAUUGAGAUUGAAUAAAGUUAAUAUAAUGGAUAGAGCCCAGAACAGGAUAAUAUAUAAGUGAAAUCAAAUGCAAUGUAUGAUUUCACUUUUAUUGGGAAAAUAAUUAGCCAAGAAAUGUGUAUUGAACUUUCCAAAUACAUUUAAAACUGUGCAACUCUCCGUGGUCCAUGCAAUCAAGCAACUGUUAUAUAUCUGCAUUAAACUAGCUAACAUAGACUCACCACCACAUGAUGUUGCCCUGCAGCGGGGGCAGAAAAUCAUUUGCAAACCAGGGAUCUUAGGUUGAUUAUUAUAUUCUUACUUAUGUACACACACACACACAGAAGGGAAAAUUUCAAAACAAAACAAAAAAUAACUUCGCUUAACCUGUCAAGCGCAGGAGCAAAAUAAAAAUGUCUUUGGGCUCUGUUAAAAUUUCUUUAGUAAAAAGCGAAGGUAGUGGACCUGGGAAUGGUGUAGUGACGUCUUUGGAAGACGUCAAGAGAGGGAAUUGUAGAAUUAUAGGAAUUAUUUUAUGGUUACUGUUCAUAACCAUCAUCUUUAUCAUUGCAUUAAUUAUCAUUUCAUCGAAGUGUUUAUUGAAGCUGCUGGCAUUAUGUUAUAAUUUACAUUAUAGGGGUUAUCAUAAUCAAAUAUUAACAUGUUUAUUACAGGUGCAGUUAUAACUACUUUAAAAUGAUUGAGUUAAAUAUAUGUAUCAUAACUCAUAGGCUGAGUACAUGGUUACAGUAAAAUAGUAGCUGAGCAAAGGCCUGAAUGUAUUCAGCUUCUUGUGGUAUUUGAGUUUGCUUAGUUACAGGUGACGGAAGGAUGUCCAGUCCAUGGUGACCUCAAAGGCCUUAGGUCAUCACCAUAUUCGGAAGAGUAUGCCACAAGGAGGAACCUCUGUGUUUGCAUUUAAUUCUUAAAAUACAUGAAUGUUCUGUACAUGCAAAUUAUGUGCUUGUAAACGCAAGAAGGGGCGUUACAAUACCCUGAUGUUAUAAAAGCAAUCUAGAGUGUAUUUUGGGUAGAGAUGUACAACUGUUUUGCAGUUUGCACCUCUCCACGCUGCGUGCAUUCAUUAAAAAUCAAUUGUUUGAUUGACCUCUUCUGGACCAUCAUUGUUUUACUCUCGUCCUCAAUUUCGAACCCGUAACACAAGUCAACAACGGUUCAGUGUUGUGCAGCGCUUCACUGUAAUGUUGGGCAAAUCAAGCAACACAGAAGAAUACCUGAGCCAGCGAGCUGCAGACAGGUGUGAGGUGGGGUACCUGCACCGUCAGAGGGGUGUUACGACCCGUCUAGGGCCAGGCAAUAACAUGAGUGAGGCACUCGCUUCCCCCCCAAGACCCAAGCAGCCACAGGAAACAAAUCCGUUCGUUAAUGUGAUUUAUUUACAAAGUGAGAAAAAAAAAGAGGAACAACAAAACGGGAGUGUCAACACUUCAGGGUGAGCCAAGGCCAAAAUAAUAAACAAAACAAAUCUACACAAAUCCUGCACCCCUGACCUUACCAAAACAAAGUCCAAAAAUAAAGACAUAGUCUGACCUCCUUAACUAAUUCAAAACAGGAGAAAACUGGUGAUCAAAGAAACGGCAGCUCACCCCUACCCACUCCACUUACACAACUUUCAAGCCGCACUGCAGCCAGCGGCUGCCACGGUAACACUGCUGGGUCAUGAGGAGAAAUACGAGGACCUCUCCCGCUGUAGCACUCCAGCCUCCUUUUAAUGGGCGGGUCCUCCAGCUGGAACCAGUCACGUCGGGGCGGUGUAUCCAUGCACCAAUCGGAGCAGGGCCCUGGCACAGCUGAAUUAACAUAAAAAGAUACAUCACCUGCACAAAACAAACACAUGAACAUGCAAGUUUGUAACAGGGGAGUACCCAACAAUGUCGCGGGAGGCAAGCACAGCCUUUUCACACGCGGCGACUGCACGCAGACAUCCAGGAAGGCCUGGCUCAGGUCAAACUUAGAAGAAUAGUAGGCAACAGGAUGAAGCAAA
Molecule: long non-coding RNA, 2204 nt
Organism: Oreochromis niloticus (Nile tilapia)
Lineage: Eukaryota; Metazoa; Chordata; Actinopteri; Cichliformes; Cichlidae
Source: Ensembl